This 1372-nucleotide ribosomal RNA is filed under the name uncultured bacterium. RNAcentral's name for it is "bacterial SSU rRNA". It matches the Rfam family "Bacterial small subunit ribosomal RNA", at positions 28 to 1381 of the family's 1533-position model. The record is from RNAcentral.
GAUGAACGCCGGCGGCGUGCCUAAUACAUGCAAGUCGAGCGAACGGACGAGAAGCUUGCUUCUCUGAUGUUAGCGGCGGACGGGUGAGUAACACGUGGAUAACCUACCUAUAAGACUGGGAUAACUUCGGGAAACCGGAGCUAAUACCGGAUAAUAUUUUGAACCGCAUGGUUCAAAAGUGAAAGACGGUCUUGCUGUCACUUAUAGAUGGAUCCGCGCUGCAUUAGCUAGUUGGUAAGGUAACGGCUUACCAAGGCAACGAUGCAUAGCCGACCUGAGAGGGUGAUCGGCCACACUGGAACUGAGACACGGUCCAGACUCCUACGGGAGGCAGCAGUAGGGAAUCUUCCGCAAUGGGCGAAAGCCUGACGGAGCAACGCCGCGUGAGUGAUGAAGGUCUUCGGAUCGUAAAACUCUGUUAUUAGGGAAGAACAUAUGUGUAAGUAACUGUGCACAUCUUGACGGUACCUAAUCAGAAAGCCACGGCUAACUACGUGCCAGCAGCCGCGGUAAUACGUAGGUGGCAAGCGUUAUCCGGAAUUAUUGGGCGUAAAGCGCGCGUAGGCGGUUUUUUAAGUCUGAUGUGAAAGCCCACGGCUCAACCGUGGAGGGUCAUUGGAAACUGGAAAACUUGAGUGCAGAAGAGGAAAGUGGAAUUCCAUGUGUAGCGGUGAAAUGCGCAGAGAUAUGGAGGAACACCAGUGGCGAAGGCGACUUUCUGGUCUGUAACUGACGCUGAUGUGCGAAAGCGUGGGGAUCAAACAGGAUUAGAUACCCUGGUAGUCCACGCCGUAAACGAUGAGUGCUAAGUGUUAGGGGGUUUCCGCCCCUUAGUGCUGCAGCUAACGCAUUAAGCACUCCGCCUGGGGAGUACGACCGCAAGGUUGAAACUCAAAGGAAUUGACGGGGACCCGCACAAGCGGUGGAGCAUGUGGUUUAAUUCGAAGCAACGCGAAGAACCUUACCAAAUCUUGACAUCCUUUGACAACUCUAGAGAUAGAGCCUUCCCCUUCGGGGGACAAAGUGACAGGUGGUGCAUGGUUGUCGUCAGCUCGUGUCGUGAGAUGUUGGGUUAAGUCCCGCAACGAGCGCAACCCUUAAGCUUAGUUGCCAUCAUUAAGUUGGGCACUCUAAGUUGACUGCCGGUGACAAACCGGAAGAAGGUGGGGAUGACGUCAAAUCAUCAUGCCCCUUAUGAUUUGGGCUACACACGUGCUACAAUGGACAAUACAAAGGGCAGCGAAACCGCGAGGUCAAGCAAAUCCCAUAAAGUUGUUCUCAGUUCGGAUUGUAGUCUGCAACUCGACUACAUGAAGCUGGAAUCGCUAGUAAUCGUAGAUCAGCAUGCUACGGUGAAUACGUUCCCGGGUCU